This 253-nucleotide ribosomal RNA is filed under the name uncultured bacterium. Its description in RNAcentral is "partial 16S ribosomal RNA". It matches the Rfam family "Bacterial small subunit ribosomal RNA", at positions 524 to 776 of the family's 1533-position model. The record is from RNAcentral.
UACGUAGGGUGCGAGCGUUACUCGGAAUUACUGGGCGUAAAGGGUGCGCAGGCGGCUUGCUAAGACAGGUGUGAAAGCCCCGAGCUUAACUUGGGAAUGGCGCUUGUGACUGGCAGGCUGGAGUGUGGCAGAGGGAGGUGGAAUUCCACGUGUAGCAGUGAAGUGCGUAGAGAUGUGGAGGAACACCGAUGGCGAAGGCAGCCUCCUGGGCCAACACUGACGCUCAUGCACGAAAGCGUGGGGAGCAAACAGG